Molecule: ribosomal RNA, 497 nt
Filed under: uncultured bacterium
Lineage: Bacteria
Description: partial 16S ribosomal RNA
Rfam family: Bacterial small subunit ribosomal RNA
Source: RNAcentral
GACGAACGCUGGCGGCGUGCCUAAUACAUGCAAGUUGAGCGCUGAAGGUUGGUACUUGUACCAACUGGAUGAGCAGCGAACGGGUGAGUAGCGCGUGGGGAAUCUGCCUUUGAGCGGGGGACAACAUUUGGAAACGAAUGCUAAUACCGCAUAAAAACUUUAAACACAAGUUUUAAGUUUGAAAGAUGCAAUUGCAUCACUCAAAGAUGAUCCCGCGUUGUAUUAGCUAGUUGGUGAGGUAAAGGCUCACCAAGGCGAUGAUACAUAGCCGACCUGAGAGGGUGAUCGGCCACAUUGGGACUGAGACACGGCCCAAACUCCUACGGGAGGCAGCAGUAGGGAAUCUUCGGCAAUGGACGAAAGUCUGACCGAGCAACGCCGCGUGAGUGAAGAAGGUUUUCGGAUCGUAAAAAUCUGUUGGUAGAGAAGAACGUUGGUGAGAGUGGAAAGCUCAUCAAGUGACGGUAACUACCCAGAAAGGGACGGCUAACUACGUG